GGCAGCAGUGCUCUAGUUAUCCAACAGGGUUGGUUUAGGUUGCUGCUGCACUGGGAGCACUUAAGAAUGAAGUACAGAAGUGACCACAGCUGAAAGGCCAUUUAUUUGCAGCUGUUUCUUCUCAGUUGCAGGAUGCACUGUUCAUUUACAGCAGCUAGAGACCUCAAUUAAUUUAUGAAUGAGGACAGCAGGCUGUGAACUCUCCAGCUCAGCCUAGGUGGAGAUGUCCCUGUCUGAAUUUAUGUUCCGGAAAAACUUUUUUGAAAGCUCCUACAUGAAUUCACAGCAGAAAUCCAAUUGCGGGAGAAGAUAUUAUUAAGACUUCUGCUUCUGAGGCCCAUUACCUCAUAACUCCUGCUUCUGAGGCCGUAUUUGUUCCAAUAUGACCAUAUUGGAUAAGAUGAAGUUUUGGGAUUUUCUUUUGAAGGAAUGGUUUACAAGCACCACAAAGGGACAUGUGCCAACACAACUUGACUGUAUACAGGAGGAGGAAUAAACUAGAAGUAUGCCUGAUCAAGAAUUACUGUGAUUUUACUUGGCAUUUAUUUUCUCUGAGCUGUGAUCAAUAGAGUCAACCUAUGGGAGUUUUGCAUGAAAAGGAGCAUGUAAAUAUCUGAGAUGUUUCUGAAAAGAGUUCUUGGCAAAAGAAAUGUACUUUCAUUAGCUGAAAUGGUAAAGAGAUUGCAGGUUCUCCUUAAGCUAGUGACAGUGCUCACAGAUGCAAAAGUAUUCUCCCUGAAUGACUCAGAGCUGAGAUCCUGUUUCCACAUCUGAAUGCAGAAGUCCAGGCAAACUGCUGGCAUUGCAGUAUGACAAUAAUGUAGAUAAGCUAAAGUAAAUUUUGGCAAGGACUGCAAUGAGCUCAGCUAGCAUGCUGUACAGCCACGUGCACCAGAAUAAAGGAAGGGGUGUCAGAGGGAAAGUAGUGCUGAGGAAGGGGCCAGUUCUUGGUGGGAUGGGCUGUGUGAGCAAGAACAUUCUGAUAAACCAGUAAGAUUUGAAAACCCAUUCUGUAUGAUCUCAAGUUAGUUUAAAUAAUGCUUAUAUUAUCCUGAAAUGCUCAAACAUAUCUGGGAAAAACAAUAUCAACUAAUAAAAUAUUUUUUCUUUUGG
This is a long non-coding RNA of Zonotrichia leucophrys gambelii, 1113 nucleotides long. RefSeq lists it as uncharacterized. The record is from RefSeq and is a predicted model, not a curated record. NCBI's taxonomy places the organism in Eukaryota, Metazoa, Chordata, Aves, Passeriformes, Passerellidae. The transcript has 3 exons.